RNAcentral lists this ribosomal RNA (492 nucleotides) under uncultured bacterium. RNAcentral's name for it is "partial 16S ribosomal RNA". It matches the Rfam family "Bacterial small subunit ribosomal RNA", at positions 29 to 507 of the family's 1533-position model. The record is from RNAcentral.
AGUGAACGCUGGCGGUAGGCCUAACACAUGCAAGUCGAACGGCAGCACAGUAAGAGCUUGCUCUUACGGGUGGCGAGUGGCGGACGGGUGAGGAAUACAUCGGAAUCUACUUUUUCGUGGGGGAUAACGUAGGGAAACUUACGCUAAUACCGCAUACGACCUACGGGUGAAAGCAGGGGAUCUUCGGACCUUGCGCGAUUGAAUGAGCCGAUGUCGGAUUAGCUAGUUGGCGGGGUAAAGGCCCACCAAGGCGACGAUCCGUAGCUGGUCUGAGAGGAUGAUCAGCCACACUGGAACUGAGACACGGUCCAGACUCCUACGGGAGGCAGCAGUGGGGAAUAUUGAACAAUGGGCACAAGCCUGAUCCAGCCAUACCGCGUGGGUGAAGAAGGCCUUCGGGUUGUAAAGCCCUUUUGUUGGGAAAGAAAAGCAGCAGGUUAAUACCCCGCUGUUCUGACGGUACCCAAAGAAUAAGCACCGGCUAACUUCGUG